UGUUCUAAGCUGAUGGCUUCUCUUUCCUU
RNAcentral lists this non-coding RNA (29 nucleotides) under Homo sapiens (human). Lineage: Eukaryota; Metazoa; Chordata; Mammalia; Primates; Hominidae. The record is from RNAcentral.